RNAcentral lists this long non-coding RNA (305 nucleotides) under Panax ginseng (ginseng). Its description in RNAcentral is "long non-coding RNA (PGIN_LNC018600)". Lineage: Eukaryota; Viridiplantae; Streptophyta; Magnoliopsida; Apiales; Araliaceae. The record is from RNAcentral.
AGGAUUUAUUCUUGAGGGGGGCCAAAAAAUAUAUAUUCGUCUACCAUUACAAAACAUAUUAUAACACAAACAAACAUAGAUCGAAUUGAUAACUCUUCAUAUCAACAAUUUUAAACCCCAAUUUGUUUCUGCACAUACAUAAUAUAUAUAUAUAUAUACACACACAAUUCAGAGAAAAGAAACAAUUGAAAUACAAUGUAUAGGUGAAAAGGGCCUGCUAAUUUAGACAAUUGGACCACUAUAUCACCACAACUCAGAGAAAUUGCAUGAUUGCCCAAAUAAAAAUUACAUGAGUUGAACUAGAG